AUUGAACGCUGGCGGCAGGCCUAACACAUGCAAGUCGAGCGGAUGAAGGGAGCUUGCUCCUGGAUUCAGCGGCGGACGGGUGAGUAAUGCCUAGGAAUCUGCCUGGUAGUGGGGGAUAACGUCCGGAAACGGGCGCUAAUACCGCAUACGUCCUGAGGGAGAAAGUGGGGGAUCUUCGGACCUCACGCUAUCAGAUGAGCCUAGGUCGGAUUAGCUAGUUGGUGGGGUAAAGGCCUACCAAGGCGACGAUCCGUAACUGGUCUGAGAGGAUGAUCAGUCACACUGGAACUGAGACACGGUCCAGACGCCUACGGGAGGGAGCAGUGGGGAAUAGUGGACAAUGGGCGAAAGCCUGAUCCAGCCAUGCCGCGUGUGUGAAGAAGGUCUUCGGAUUGUAAAGCACUUUAAGUUGGGAGGAAGGGCAGUAAGUUAAUACCUUGCUGUUUUGACGUUACCAACAGAAUAAGCACCGGCUAACUUCGUG
This 484-nucleotide ribosomal RNA is filed under the name uncultured bacterium. RNAcentral's name for it is "partial 16S ribosomal RNA". It matches the Rfam family "Bacterial small subunit ribosomal RNA", at positions 30 to 507 of the family's 1533-position model. The record is from RNAcentral.